CGCAUUUAAAGUGAAGUAAAAAGACAAAUUUGAAAAAUAAAAUUAUUGCAAUGAGUGAAAAAAAUACAAUUGAAGAUUUGCCAGAGUUUUCUUUUUCUGAAUGUGAAAAUGAAGUGGUGGAAUUCGAAUCGACUUGGAGCUUAGAAAGAGUGUAUGACAAAGCGAUACCGAUUCCAACUCAAACCGAUCCGAUCAAUAAAACCGAGCACAAAUCAACCAAUACGCAAGAAUGCAAGCAUAAUUCGACUCAAACAGAGGCAUUACCAAGCAAGGCUCCGGUUGCAGUGAAUGAAAAGGAAUUAAUUGAAUCGAUUCGCGUGUUAUCAGCUGUUAUGGAAGCUGAAGUCAAACUCGGAACGACGAAUAUUUUCAAAUUUCAAUCAAAUUAACUACGUAUGCGAAAUCUCACCUAAGACAAAUGAUGCAAUGCCAAUGAAUUUGUGGAACAUUUUCGAGACUACGGCCAACGACAGCGAAUAUCAGCGAAAUGAGACCGGUGAUGGAGUGAGUAGUUUGGAAGUGAAAUUGUCGUGUUGAAUAAAAAACGGUGGUGCCGACAAUUGCCAUCAAGGAA
Sitodiplosis mosellana (orange wheat blossom midge) is the source of this 574-nucleotide long non-coding RNA. RefSeq lists it as uncharacterized. NCBI's taxonomy places the organism in Eukaryota, Metazoa, Arthropoda, Insecta, Diptera, Cecidomyiidae. The record is from RefSeq and is a predicted model, not a curated record. The transcript is spliced from 4 exons.